RNAcentral lists this small nucleolar RNA (130 nucleotides) under Meriones unguiculatus (Mongolian gerbil). RNAcentral describes it as "Small nucleolar RNA SNORA17 (ENSMUGG00000019553.1)". It matches the Rfam family "Small nucleolar RNA SNORA17". Rfam says of the family: snoRNA ACA 17 belongs to the H/ACA family of snoRNAs and is predicted to guide pseudouridylation of the 28S rRNA at positions U4659 and U4598. It shares the same host gene together with ACA43. Lineage: Eukaryota; Metazoa; Chordata; Mammalia; Rodentia; Muridae. The record is from RNAcentral.
ACUGCCCCUAGAAGCCGUGCUGGUGUGGUCGCCAUGUCACAUGUGUGUCAGUAGGCGGCAGAGAGAACAGGCUGUGUCUACACGCAGGGUUCUGACCUGUGAACAUCUGAAUGAUAGGUAGCAUAACAAA